ACUAACUAGGAUUCCCUCAGUAGCUGCGAGCGAACAGGGAAGAGCCCAGCACUGAAUCCCGCGGACUUUACGGUCCGUCGGGAAAUGUAGUGUUUGGGAGGGUCCACAAUCCCGAGGUGGUGCGGCGCGUCCAAGUCCUUCUUGAACGGGGCCACUUGCCCAUAGAGGGUGCCAGGCCCGUAGCGACCGCCGCCCGCAGCGGGAGGAUCUCUCCUCGGAGUCGGGUUGCUUGAGAGUGCAGCCCUAAGUGGGUGGUAAACUCCAUCUAAGGCUAAAUAUGACCACGAGACCGAUAGCGAACAAGUACCGUGAGGGAAAGUUGAAAAGAACUUUGAAGAGAGAGUUAAAUAGUACGUGAAACCGUUCAGGGGUAAACCUGAGAAACCCGAAAGGUCGAAUGGGGAGAUUCAGCGCGUAUCGAAGGAUGCGAGUGUCUGUUGCGAGACGGUGAUCGUUCGCGAGAGCCGCUCCAUCGGUUACCGUCGUCCGACGAACGCGUGCACUUCUCCCCUAGUAGGACGUCGCGACCCGUUGGGCGUCGGUCAGAGGUCCGCACGGUAGACCGCGCGAGGAGCUUCGGCACCUCGUCGGACCUGCGGUUGCCCGGCCGACACGCUCGACGGUACGACAAUGGCGCGGGGCCGCGACUAGUUCGCGUCUGGCCCGUCGCAAGUACGAGCGGUGGAUUCGGAUGUCGGACCUGGUGCCGACUCUGGACCCGCUUGGCUGCUGGCGACGGUGUCCUUGGACAGACCCUGUCAAGCGCCGGUCAGCGACGCUAUAGCGUUGGGUACUUUCAGGACCCGUCUUGAAACACGGACCAAGGAGUCUAGCAUGUGCGCGAGUCAUUGGGACUAGCGAAACCUAAAGGCGAAAUGAAAGUGAAGGCGUCCUUCGGGAUUGCCGAGGGAGGAUGGGCGGUGCCGCGGUGCCGCCUCGCACUCCCGGGGCGUCUCUAGCUCAUUGCGAGCUGAGGCGCACCCAGAGCGUACACGCUGGGACCCGAAAGAUGGUGAACUAUGCCUGGUCAGGACGAAGUCAGGGGAAACCCUGAUGGAGGUCCGUAGCGAUUCUGACGUGCAAAUCGAUCGUCGGAACUGGGUAUAGGGGCGAAAGACUAAUCGAACCAUCUAGUAGCUGGUUCCCUCCGAAGUUUCCCUCAGGAUAGCUGGCGCUCAUUUGCGAGUCUCAUCCGGUAAAGCGAAUGAUUAGAGGCAUUGGGGUCGAAACGGCCUCAACCUAUUCUCAAACUUUAAAUGGGUGAGAUCUCCGGCUUGCUUGAAUUUUGAAGCCGGAGCUCACAGGAUCAGAG
This 1312-nucleotide ribosomal RNA is filed under the name Diochus schaumi. RNAcentral's name for it is "eukaryotic LSU rRNA". It matches the Rfam family "Eukaryotic large subunit ribosomal RNA", at positions 64 to 1121 of the family's 3401-position model. Lineage: Eukaryota; Metazoa; Arthropoda; Insecta; Coleoptera; Staphylinidae. The record is from RNAcentral.